AUACGUAGGGUGCGAGCGUUGUCCGGAAUUACUGGGCGUAAAGAGCUCGUAGGUGGUUUGUCGCGUCGUCUGUGAAAUUCCGGGGCUUAACUCCGGGCGUGCAGGCGAUACGGGCAUAACUUGAGUACUGUAGGGGAGACUGGAAUUCCUGGUGUAGCGGUGAAAUGCGCAGAUAUCAGGAGGAACACCGGUGGCGAAGGCGGGUUUCUGGGCAGUAACUGACGCUGAGGAGCGAAAGCAUGGGUAGCGAACAGGAUUAGAUACCCUGGUAGUCCAUGCCGUAAACGGUGGGCGCUAGGUGUAGGGGUCUUCCACGACUUCUGUGCCGUAGCUAACGCAUUAAGCGCCCCGCCUGGGGAGUACGGCCGCAAGGCUAAAACUCAAAUGAAUUGACGGGG
This 398-nucleotide ribosomal RNA is filed under the name uncultured bacterium. RNAcentral's name for it is "partial 16S ribosomal RNA". It matches the Rfam family "Bacterial small subunit ribosomal RNA", at positions 523 to 918 of the family's 1533-position model. The record is from RNAcentral.